AGAAAUAAGAGAACAGUGAAGAAAUUAUGAAGNUUUUUUAUUGAUGGUACAUGACAAGGUAGGGCUCCCCAAGCCCCUCCCCUUCCUUGGGGUCUAGGAUGUAAAUUGGAGUUCAGGAGAUUCUCAGUGUGUUGGGGGAUUAAGUUGGGGCAGAAACUCCCCAGCAGCUGAGGGCCUCUCUCUUCCUCUUGUUCUUGCUGGGGCUGGUGGUCCAGGAGGCUCUUACUCGUUAUUGAUGGUACAUGACAAGGUAGGGCUCCCCAAGCCCCUCCCCUUCCUUGGGGUCUAGGAUGUAAAUUGGAGUUCAGGAGAUUCUCAGUGUGUUGGGGGAUUAAGUUGGGGCAGAAACUCCCCAGCAGCUGAGGGCCUCUCUCUUCCUCUUGUUCUUGCUGGGGCUGGUGGUCCAGGAGGCUCUUACUCGUUGGAGGCCAUGUGGACCAUGAGGUCCACCACCCGGUUGCUGUAGCUGAAUUCAUUGUCAUACCAGGAAAUGAGCUUGACAAAGUGGUCAUUGAGGGCAAUGCCAGCCCCCGCGUCGAAGGUGGAAGAGUGGAUGUCACUGUUGAAGUCACAGGAGACAACCUGGUCCUCAGUGUAGCCCAGGAUGCCCUUGAGGGGGCCCUCUGAUGCCUGCUUCACCACCUUCUUGAUGUCGUCAUAUUUGGCAGUUUUCUCUAGGCGGCAGACUCUGUGCUUAUAUCUUUCAUUCUCUAUCCACAUCCCUGCCUCUCAGAAGACCACCAAAGACGGCAUCAUCAUACCAUGAGAGAUGAACAAGUUGUUGUUGUUGUUUUCUAAUUGGUGAUAGUAAGGAAAAGUCUGAAGAAAACAGUGUCAAUAAAACUGACAAAAGCUAAAAUCA
This 862-nucleotide long non-coding RNA is filed under the name Vulpes vulpes (red fox). RNAcentral describes it as "lncRNA (ENSVVUG00000019586.1)". The record is from RNAcentral. Lineage: Eukaryota; Metazoa; Chordata; Mammalia; Carnivora; Canidae.